CGUUCAUCGUAACAUAACUGGUCCGCCA
RNAcentral lists this small RNA (28 nucleotides) under Bombyx mori (domestic silkworm). Its description in RNAcentral is "ovarian small RNA-14591". Lineage: Eukaryota; Metazoa; Arthropoda; Insecta; Lepidoptera; Bombycidae. The record is from RNAcentral.